This 593-nucleotide ribosomal RNA is filed under the name fungal sp. Its description in RNAcentral is "eukaryotic LSU rRNA". The stretch from base 234 to 387 matches the Rfam family "5.8S ribosomal RNA". Lineage: Eukaryota; Fungi. The record is from RNAcentral.
AUAGAGGAAGUAAAAGUCGUAACAAGGUCUCCGUUGGUGAACCAGCGGAGGGAUCAUUAUUAGAAGCCGAAAGGCUACUUAAAACCAUCGCGAACUCGUCCAAGUUGCUUCGGCGGCGCGGCCCCCCUCACGGGGGCGCCGCAGCCCCGCCUCUCCGGAGGUGUGGGGCGCCCGCCGGAGGUACGAAACUCUGUAUUAUAGUGGCAUCUCUGAGUAAAAAACAAAUAAGUUAAAACUUUCAACAACGGAUCUCUUGGUUCUGGCAUCGAUGAAGAACGCAGCGAAAUGCGAUAAGUAAUGUGAAUUGCAGAAUUCAGUGAAUCAUCGAAUCUUUGAACGCACAUUGCGCCCGCUAGUACUCUAGCGGGCAUGCCUGUUCGAGCGUCAUUUCAACCCUCAAGCCCUGCUUGGUGUUGGGGCCCUACGGCUGCCGUAGGCCCUGAAAGGAAGUGGCGGGCUCGCUACAACUCCGAGCGUAGUAAUUCAUUAUCUCGCUAGGGACGUUGCGGCGCGCUCCUGCCGUUAAAGACCAUCUUUAACUCAAGGUUGACCUCGGAUCAGGUAGGAAUACCCGCUGAACUUAAGCAUAUCAA